RNAcentral lists this ribosomal RNA (373 nucleotides) under Theileria luwenshuni. RNAcentral describes it as "partial 18S ribosomal RNA". It matches the Rfam family "Eukaryotic small subunit ribosomal RNA", at positions 477 to 893 of the family's 1831-position model. Lineage: Eukaryota; Apicomplexa; Aconoidasida; Piroplasmida; Theileriidae. The record is from RNAcentral.
UAAUAAAAAGGGGCUUAUUGUCUUGUAUUGUAUGAUGGGAAUUUAAACCCCUUUCCCAGUCUCAAUUGAGGGGCAACUUGGGUGCCCCCACCCCCGGUAAUUCCACCUCCGCUACCGGAUAUUAAAAUUGUUGUCCUAAAAAAGCUCGUAUUUGAAUUUCUGCUGCAUUGCAUCUUCUUUUUGACGAAAUGGUGUAUUGGGGCUUAUUUACGACGAAACUUGUAUUAUCCGGAAGAGUACCUUGAAAAAACGCGGCUGCAGAAACCGGCUUUGCCCCUUCUUGAUUGAUGGAAAAAGUAAAAUAUGCCUUUGGUUCUAUUUUGUUGGAUUUAGGUCCCAAACGAAAGGUCUAUGUCACCACCUCAGGGGUGUC